Molecule: long non-coding RNA, 720 nt
Filed under: Physcomitrium patens
Lineage: Eukaryota; Viridiplantae; Streptophyta; Bryopsida; Funariales; Funariaceae
Description: long non-coding RNA (PPAT_LNC009236)
Source: RNAcentral
GUAUUCUGCAAGAAAGAAAAUGUAAUACACCAAUAUUUAACAAUGUUUAAAAUUAAGCAAGUAGGGAGAUUUAAUUGAGUGAAAAUAACAAACAGUGAACUGAGAAAACCAAAGACACCAAACAAAAUAAAUCAACAUAAGUGGAGAAAUUAGGUCAAAAUUAUGUCACUGAUGCAACAUGACCCUAAAACCACCAAAAGAGGGCAACCCAUUGCACCAAAAGCGUUGACAUUUCAAAUUGCCACAACAAAAUAGCAGCUAAGCUUGACAGAUUCUAGCAAAGGAAUGGAUUCCUCCUUGACCCAAAUCUCAAUAAAAAUAUGAAUCUCAAUUGGGAACACCCCAAGUCAACAUAGGUCUUCAGCUUGCGUACAUAUUUGGGGGCACAAAGUGUGGCACUAAUGCCAAGACAAUCCCAUCAUUACCACCCUUCCUAAGACCAACAUGUGCAACACAUAUACACACAUACACUCCUGUAUUCUCUCUCUUUCACUUUCUCAGAUCUUCUAUUCUCCCACCCCUAUUCUUCCCAUCCUUCUCUCUGCCCCCACAUCCCAGUCCACACUCCACACCCUCCUCCUCAAAGGCCACCACCACCACCACCUCCACAGGCUUGGAACCUCUCAAAAAGUGAGAACUAAAACACACCCAUUCAAACCCUAAAACAGCCACCUUUACCCCAAAUGUAGGCUUGAGGGGGGGAGCAGCAUCCAAGACCAG